CCUACGGGUGUCAGCAGUGAGGACUAUUUGUCAAUGGACGAAAGUCUGAACCAGCCAAGUAGCGUGAAUGAUGACUGCCCUCUGGGUUGUACACUUCUUUUAUAUGGGAAUAAAAUGUUCCACGUGUGGGAUUUUGUAUGUCCCAUAUGAAUAAGGCUCGCCUAACUCCGGGCCAGCAUCCGCGGUCAUACGGAGGAUCCGAGCGUUAUCCGGAUUUCUUGGGUUUCAAGGGAGCGUAGGUGGAUUGUUAAGUCAGUUGUGAAAGUUUGCGGCUCAACCGUAAAAUUGCAGUUGACACUGGCAGUCGUGAGUACAGUAGAGGUGGGCGGAAUUCGUGGUGUAGCGGUGAAAUGCUUAGAUAUCACGAAGAACUCCGAUUGCGAAGGCAGCUCACUGGACUGCAACUGACACUGAGGCUCGAAAGUGUGGGUAUCAAACAGGAUUAGAUACCCCAGUAGUC
This 460-nucleotide ribosomal RNA is filed under the name uncultured bacterium. RNAcentral's name for it is "partial 16S ribosomal RNA". It matches the Rfam family "Bacterial small subunit ribosomal RNA", at positions 338 to 795 of the family's 1533-position model. The record is from RNAcentral.